UGCGUCUAUAUGGAAGAUUACUCGUCCUGAUAGAAACAGAAUGGAUCAACUCAUGCAUUCUGUCUCAUUCCUUCCUGCAACUUAUGCCAGUUGCUUUGCCACGACGAUCUCGGAUUCGUGGAUUCUCGGGUUUGUUAAGUGAAAAUCUGUUCAUUUCUUCCAUAUCCGAAAAUGAAUCAAUGAUGGCAACAUUCGGUGGAUUCCAUCUAACUGAGUGCGGAGAUUCGAACUUGGGACAUGAUUAUUUAAUUGGCAUAUCAAGUUUUGUUUAUAAGCAUUUGUAGCCCUAUGAUGGCUUGCACUUCAAUAAAAUACCACCUCACCCUCAUUUAUAAGA
Long non-coding RNA from Pyrus x bretschneideri (Chinese white pear), 337 nucleotides. RefSeq lists it as uncharacterized. NCBI's taxonomy places the organism in Eukaryota, Viridiplantae, Streptophyta, Magnoliopsida, Rosales, Rosaceae. The transcript is spliced from 2 exons. The record is from RefSeq and is a predicted model, not a curated record.